Oreochromis aureus is the source of this 459-nucleotide long non-coding RNA. The record is from Ensembl. NCBI's taxonomy places the organism in Eukaryota, Metazoa, Chordata, Actinopteri, Cichliformes, Cichlidae.
CAGCACGCUCCACUGGGUCCUGUGAAAGGAUGCCCAGUUAGUGUGAAAGGCUGCCUGAGGGUCCCAGUGCACAUGUGUGUGGAUCCACUGGCCCACUAUGCCACGACACCACCACUAAGAUUCACGUUUUGGAUUCUGGUCACAAACCCUCAUAAGAUUUUCAGCCACACUCCAGGGAGUAUCACCAACCGCACUGACCUGCCUGCCUUCCUUCCAUCACCACCCACGCGAGUCCUGGAAUACUCAGGUCAGACCUUCUUAACACUCCUCUGCCAGUCACUCGGACCUCUGCCUCCCCCUCCAAGCCUCAGCCUCCUCCUGCCCAAGUUCAAGGACGUUGCACUCCGUGACAGCACAGAGGAAAAACUACCACGCCAUGCCUCAACAUUUUUUUUUCUCCUAUUAUUAAGUGUCCUAUUUCAUAAAACAUUUCUCUACCUUUUGCAAUGAAGUGAGGGA